UACGGAGGGUGCAAGCGUUAUCCGGAUUCACUGGGUUUAAAGGGUGUGUAGGCGGGUUUUUAAGUCAGUGGUGAAAUCUCCGAGCUCAACUCGGAAACUGCCAUUGAUACUAUUUAUCUUGAAUAUUGUUGAGGUAGGCGGAAUAUGUCAUGUAGCGGUGAAAUGCUUAGAUAUGACAUAGAACACCGAUUGCGAAGGCAGCUUGCUAAACAAUUAUUGACGCUGAGGCACGAAAGCGUGGGGAUCAAACAGG
RNAcentral lists this ribosomal RNA (253 nucleotides) under uncultured bacterium. Its description in RNAcentral is "partial 16S ribosomal RNA". It matches the Rfam family "Bacterial small subunit ribosomal RNA", at positions 524 to 776 of the family's 1533-position model. The record is from RNAcentral.